This 468-nucleotide ribosomal RNA is filed under the name uncultured bacterium. Its description in RNAcentral is "partial 16S ribosomal RNA". It matches the Rfam family "Bacterial small subunit ribosomal RNA", at positions 28 to 507 of the family's 1533-position model. The record is from RNAcentral.
GACGAACGCUGGCGGCGUGCUUAACACAUGCAAGUCGAACGGAAAGGCCCUGCUUUUGUGGGGUGCUCGAGUGGCGAACGGGUGAGUAACACGUGAGUAACCUGCCCUUGACUUUGGGAUAACUUCAGGAAACUGGGGCUAAUACCGGAUAGGAGCUCCUGCUGCAUGGUGGGGGUUGGAAAGUUUCGGCGGUUGGGGAUGGACUCGCGGCUUAUCAGCUUGUUGGUGGGGUAGUGGCUUACCAAGGCUUUGACGGGUAGCCGGCCUGAGAGGGUGACCGGCCACCUUGGGACUGAGAUACGGCCCAGACUCCUACGGGAGGCAGCAGUGGGGAAUAUUGCACAAUGGGCGGAAGCCUGAUGCAGCAACGCCGCGUGCGGGAUGACGGCCUUCGGGUUGUAAACCGCUUUCGCCUGUGACGAAGCGUGAGCGACGGUAAUGGGUAAAGAAGCACCGGCUAACUACGUG